AUGACAGCUUACAGUCCUGCGUAAAGAUGAAAGUGACUUUGUACAGCCCCGAUUUGCAGACACUGUGCGCAGAGGUUCAGGAGCAGAAGUCCCAUUAACCAGGUCAAGGCUCCGCUACAUGCUCUGAAAGCCCAAAGGCGAUACUAUAAGGAUGACGGCUCACGGCAUUUUUUGCUUUUGUUUGCUACAUGGAUAUUUUAAGUUCAGCUUUUUAAUUUAUUUGAAAGAGACAUUCAGACAUUGUUAUUAUUUUUUCAAGAAUUCAAAAUGUUCAAAAUGUUCAAAGCACUAAUAAGUGUAUGGCUGGGGUGAACCCCGAAGCAUGAAAGGGAA
Micropterus dolomieu (smallmouth bass) is the source of this 333-nucleotide long non-coding RNA. RefSeq lists it as uncharacterized. The record is from RefSeq and is a predicted model, not a curated record. The transcript has 2 exons. Lineage: Eukaryota; Metazoa; Chordata; Actinopteri; Centrarchiformes; Centrarchidae.